AUGAAGUUGGCGAUUGAAGAAUGGCGUUGGGUGUCAAAUGAUGCAACUGACACCCGUAGGAGAACAGAAGCCCGCACACAAAGCUGUGCAGAGGGAAAGCCAAACCUCGACAAAAGAACUGCUAGUGCAACACUUGCUUGUGCCGACCGGCGCCAGGAUGGCCUCGGUCCCCGCCGUCAUCCAUUGAAGUACCUCCCAAGGCAGCAGAAAGUCGUCUUGAACCAACGCAGUGGAGAAGAACCACUUGUCCGUGGUCUCGCCCGCCUUCUCGUUGGCCGAAGCGUUGUCCUUCCACUUGUCAGCGGUGGUGGCCUUGGAAACGCUCCAGCCACGACCUCGACCGCGGUCUCCCUCGACUCACACCAUCAGCGGCUCGCUUGGGUGGAGAAGGAAAGAAAGGGAGGGCUUGAGGAGCAAGAGCUUGCGACGAUGGCGGUUCCGACGGGGGAGGGAGAAGCAGUAGCGGAAUCUACGAGAGGAAAAGAGGAAGUGGGGAAAUGCCUCUCUCCCCCCUCUUUAUAUCCCAUCGGGAAACCCAGGCAACGGCUUUGGCAGGUCGACAACUGCCCCAUUUCCUUUGCGGUUUCCCACUACGCACGAUGUGGGCGCGGAGAUCCAGGCAUUAUCAUCAUGAUGCAACGGUCAAAGCGGAACCGACUGGCUAUCUCCCUAUCUUUACGACAGUGA
RNAcentral lists this ribosomal RNA (687 nucleotides) under Triticum aestivum (bread wheat). RNAcentral's name for it is "partial small subunit ribosomal RNA". The record is from RNAcentral. Lineage: Eukaryota; Viridiplantae; Streptophyta; Magnoliopsida; Poales; Poaceae.